GACGAACGCUGGCGGCGUGCCUAAUACAUGCAAGUAGAACGCUGAAGCGAGGAGCUUGCUCUUCUUGGAUGAGUUGCGAACGGGUGAGUAACGCGUAGGUAACCUGCCUUGUAGCGGGGGAUAACUAUUGGAAACGAUAGCUAAUACCGCAUAACAAUGGAUGACACAUGUCAUUUAUUUGAAAGGGGCAAUUGCUCCACUACAAGAUGGACCUGCGUUGUAUUAGCUAGUAGGUGAGGUAAUGGCUCACCUAGGCGACGAUACAUAGCCGACCUGAGAGGGUGAUCGGCCACACUGGGACUGAGACACGGCCCAGACUCCUACGGGAGGCAGCAGUAGGGAAUCUUCGGCAAUGGGGGCAACCCUGACCGAGCAACGCCGCGUGAGUGAAGAAAGGUUUCGGAUCGUAAAGCUCUGUUGUAAGUCAAGAACGGGUGUGAGAGUGGAAAGUUCACACUGUGACGGUAGCUUACCAGAAAGGGACGGCUAACUACGUG
RNAcentral lists this ribosomal RNA (497 nucleotides) under uncultured bacterium. RNAcentral's name for it is "partial 16S ribosomal RNA". It matches the Rfam family "Bacterial small subunit ribosomal RNA", at positions 28 to 507 of the family's 1533-position model. The record is from RNAcentral.